CAAAUUAAAGCUUUAAAAAGCAUUUUAGUUACAUUAAAAAGUUAAUUGUUAAGUCAAUUUAAUUUGA
Molecule: transfer RNA, 67 nt
Filed under: Psylliodes cupreatus
Lineage: Eukaryota; Metazoa; Arthropoda; Insecta; Coleoptera; Chrysomelidae
Description: tRNA-Val
Source: RNAcentral